This is an RNA transcript of Manacus vitellinus (golden-collared manakin), 339 nucleotides long. RefSeq lists it as uncharacterized. The transcript has 3 exons. The record is from RefSeq and is a predicted model, not a curated record. Lineage: Eukaryota; Metazoa; Chordata; Aves; Passeriformes; Pipridae.
CCCCAGCUCAGGAUCCCGGGAUCUCCCCGAGCCAGAGCCUGUGUGCCGAGGGCUCCAAGACACUGACGUCGGGGUCGCUGUCGGAGAGCGCCGGGGGGCCCCUGGAGUGCUGCUGCCUGGUGGUCCUGGCCACGGAGAACAAGGUGGGUGCCGAGGAGCUGUGCUCCCUGCUCAGCCAGGUCUUCCAGAUCGUCUACACCGAGUCCACCAUCGACUUCCUGGACCGCGCCAUCUUCGACGGGGCCUCCACGCCGACACGGCACCUGUCCCUGCACAGCGAUGACUCUUCCACCAAAGUGGACGUGAAGGAGCCCUUGGAGGUGGAUGCCAGCACUUUGU